AGCGAACGCUGGCGGCGUGUUUAAGACAUGCAAGUCGAACGGUUGUAGCAAUACAGCAGUGGCGCACGGGUGAGUAACGCGUGGGAAUAUACCGAGAAGUGGGGAAUAACUCCGGGAAACUGGAGAUAAUACCGCAUACGCCCGAGAGGGGAAAGAUUUAUCGCUUUUCGAUUAGCCCGCGUGAGAUUAGGUAGUUGGUGGGGUAAUGGCCUACCAAGCCGACGAUCUCUAGCUGGUCGGAGAGGAUGAUCAGCCAAACUGGAACUGAGACACGGUCCAGACUCCUACGGGAGGCAGCAGUGGGGAAUAUUGGACAAUGGGCGAAAGCCUGAUCCAGCCAUGCCGCGUGAAUGAUGAAGGCCUUAGGGUUGUAAAGUUCUUUCGCCGAUGAAGAUAAUGACGGUAGUCGGAGAAGAAGCCCCGGCUAACUUCGUGCCAGCCGCCGCAGUAA
RNAcentral lists this ribosomal RNA (451 nucleotides) under uncultured bacterium. RNAcentral describes it as "partial 16S ribosomal RNA". It matches the Rfam family "Bacterial small subunit ribosomal RNA", at positions 29 to 523 of the family's 1533-position model. The record is from RNAcentral.